This 427-nucleotide ribosomal RNA is filed under the name uncultured bacterium. RNAcentral describes it as "partial 16S ribosomal RNA". It matches the Rfam family "Bacterial small subunit ribosomal RNA", at positions 355 to 774 of the family's 1533-position model. The record is from RNAcentral.
UGGGGAAUAUUGCACAAUGGGCGCAAGCCUGAUGCAGCCAUGCCGCGUGUAUGAAGAAGGCCUUCAGGUUGUAAAGUACUUUCAGCGGGGAGGAAGGGAGUAAAGUUAAUACCUUUGCUCAUUGACGUUACCCGCAGAAGAAGCACCGGCUAACUCCGUGCCAGCAGCCGCGGUAAUACGGAGGGUGCAAGCGUUAAUCGGAAUUACUGGGCGUAAAGCGCACGCAGGCGGUUUGUUAAGUCAGAUGUGAAAUCCCCGGGCUCAACCUGGGAACUGCAUCUGAUACUGGCAAGCUUGAGUCUCGUAGAGGGGGGUAGAAUUCCAGGUGUAGCGGUGAAAUGCGUAGAGAUCUGGAGGAAUACCGGUGGCGAAGGCGGCCCCCUGGACGAAGACUGACGCUCAGGUGCGAAAGCGUGGGGAGCAAACA